CCGCCAAACCCUACCCAGCGACCCCCGCCAUUUCCCUCCGGCGACCUCCGCCGACGCUCGAGGUCGCAAAACCUACCCCUCCCCCUCUCCUUUGGCGCCCGCCGUAACUUCUCCACCUCCUCCCCGCCUCCGGAUGGCGUGAUCGACGCCGUCACGCGUCUCAUCUCCGACGCCGCGUCCUCGGUCGCGCCCGCAUUUUCGUCGGAGGAGGUGGCCGCCGCCGCGGCCGACUCGUUUCUCCCGGUCGCCGCCGUGCAGCACCUCAUCGACGCCGUACACUCCAUCACCGGGCUCAACUGGUGGGCUUCCAUUGCGCUGACGAUGCUGUUGGUCCGGACGGCGACCAUCCCGCUGCGGGUGCGCCAGAUCAAGGCCCAGAACAGGCUUUCUGCAUUGAAGCCAGAAAUCAUAGCAAUCAAUAAGGAAGGAGAUUCAAGGGACCCACAAUCGAGGCAUGAGAGGAGGAAGAAAUUGCGCGAGCUAUUAAAAAAGCAUGGUGUUAGUCGAUUGACACCCUUUAACCAUACAUUCCUCCAGGGGUCUAUAAUUUUAAGCUUUUGCUGUGCUAUACGGAACAUGAUAGAGAAUGUCCCUUCUUUGGAAGGAGGUGGAGCAUAUUGGUUUACUGAUUUGACAACUCCAGAUGAGCUUUACAUCCUGCCGGUGUUGACAUCAAUGACAGUUGCUGCGGACGAGCUCAAUGUGAAGGCGCGCAUCCAGGGACAACCUAUUCUUGUGCAGCAAGUGGGGAAGAACUUGUAUAGAGCACUGGCUUUUCUGAUUAUACCGCUAUCAAUGAGCAUCUGCAAGGCGCAUUUCUUUUGGUGGGUGCCAUGGAGUGCGUUUACUUUUGUGUAUGGAUUUGCUAUUCGGAGGCCAGCCGUGAGGCAUUACUUUGGUCUUCCUCAACUAGCAACACGGCCUGCACCUGCACCCGCGCAAGUGCCAGCGCCUACCUCUCCUAACCUUUCCGAGGGGACGGAGUCGAUGCCAGCGCCUACCUCUCCU
This 1008-nucleotide ribosomal RNA is filed under the name Triticum aestivum (bread wheat). Its description in RNAcentral is "partial small subunit ribosomal RNA". The record is from RNAcentral. Lineage: Eukaryota; Viridiplantae; Streptophyta; Magnoliopsida; Poales; Poaceae.